Molecule: ribosomal RNA, 420 nt
Filed under: uncultured bacterium
Lineage: Bacteria
Description: bacterial SSU rRNA
Rfam family: Bacterial small subunit ribosomal RNA
Source: RNAcentral
GGCCCGCACAAGCGGUGGAGUAUGUGGUUUAAUUCGACGCAACGCGCAGAACCUUACCCAGCCUUGACAUCCUUCGAAUCUGUAUGAAAAUACGGAGUGUCCCUUCACGGGGAAGCGAAGUGACAGGUGCUGCAUGGCUGUCGUCAGCUCGUGUCGUGAGAUGUUCGGUUAAGUCCGGCAACGAGCGCAACCCCUGUCGUUAGUUGCCAUCAUUCAGUUGGGCACUCUAGCGAGACUCCCGGUGUCAAGCCGGCGGAAGAUGGGGAUGACGUCAAGUCCUCAUGGCCCUUAUGGUUGGGGCUACACACGUACUACAAUGGUGACUACAGAGGGCUGCAAUACCGCGAGGUGGAGCCAAUCCCAAAAAAGUCGCCUCAGUUCAGAUUGGAGUCUGCAACUCGACUCCAUGAAGUUGGAAUC